Molecule: ribosomal RNA, 465 nt
Filed under: Vreelandella stevensii
Lineage: Bacteria; Pseudomonadati; Pseudomonadota; Gammaproteobacteria; Oceanospirillales; Halomonadaceae
Description: partial 16S ribosomal RNA
Rfam family: Bacterial small subunit ribosomal RNA
Source: RNAcentral
CCUACGGGGGGCAGCAGUGGGGAAUAUUGGACAAUGGGGGCAACCCUGAUCCAGCCAUGCCGCGUGUGUGAAGAAGGCCCUCGGGUUGUAAAGCACUUUCAGUGAGGAAGAACGCCUGGUGGUUAAUACCCAUCAGGAAAGACAUCACUCACAGAAGAAGCACCGGCUAACUCCGUGCCAGCAGCCGCGGUAAUACGGAGGGUGCGAGCGUUAAUCGGAAUUACUGGGCGUAAAGCGCGCGUAGGUGGCUUGAUAAGCCGGUUGUGAAAGCCCCGGGCUCAACCUGGGAACGGCAUCCGGAACUGUCAAGCUAGAGUGCAGGAGAGGAAGGUAGAAUUCCCGGUGUAGCGGUGAAAUGCGUAGAGAUCGGGAGGAAUACCAGUGGCGUAGGCGGCCUUCUGGACUGACACUGACACUGAGGUGCGAAAGCGUGGGUAGCAAACAGGAUUAGAUACCCCAGUAGUC